This is a long non-coding RNA of Arabidopsis thaliana (thale cress), 220 nucleotides long. RefSeq annotates it as other RNA. The transcript has a single exon. The record is from RefSeq. NCBI's taxonomy places the organism in Eukaryota, Viridiplantae, Streptophyta, Magnoliopsida, Brassicales, Brassicaceae.
GUCUAUCUCUUGUCUGAGGAAUUCCAAAAGGACUGCCAAAAGACAGGCCAGUUCUUCUUAGCUUCGUUCCAGCCUAACAAGGAACCUUCUCUCAACGGAUCCCAGCUCGAAGACACGAUCCCAUAGCUCACACCAGCUAAAGCCGUACCAAAGAAGACGAACGAAACAAUAAACGGAACCCAUGUAGGCACAUCAACUUUCAAUCCCACUUUGAGAUAGU